CGCGUGGCUCCAGGGCAGUCUGCGCGAAGAAAGCAGACACGGCACACAGACACCUGGUUCUGUCACCCCGAGUCCCAUCAGUGCACAUGUCCCCAUCAUAACCUGCAGCGCGUGACAUUUAUCUGCUUGGCUUUAACGCAGCAUCUUCACAGUUGCCGAAGGGACUGCUUGGCAACUGCUCGGUGGAUUCCAUGUUCCCGCUUUCCUGCAGCUGCUUAGGGACAGCUCCAUGCGUCCCUCAUCCGGUGUGAGAACUGAAGUGCUCAUGCGCAGAAUCAGCUCCCUGGCAAGACCGUUGCUCGGGAGUGGGGUGGGGAUUCUGCAUUACCUUUCCGUGGGGAGAUAUUAAAAAAAAAAAGAUCUGCUCCUCCCAGAUAGGGUACCAAUGACAAACCAAAAUAACAAUGCCACUCUAGCCAACAAAAAACUAUGUUUAUUUGGCUCACUUAUAGAGCGUGAGAGGCUAUAGGAGAAUGACCCCUGAACAACCACAACACCAAAAGUUCUCACCCCAGCAUGGAUGACAACUUCCCCGUGCCUAUAAUAAAUGGAGUCACCUUCUCAUCUAAUCUUCCAUACUUUAUAUACUCUAUCACCUGAGACCCCAGACCCAUGUGCACACCCCUGGAAGAAGGUGUAAGAAGGAGCAGGAGCCUCAGGAGUCUCAGGUCCCUUUCCAUGUGGUACUGACUGCUGUUCAUAAAGGCCGGGGACAUCCAGUCACCAAGAGAACUCAACGGGAUCCAGGAAGGGGCUUGGUUUGCAUCAUAGCUUCAAAGCCUCGGAGCUGGAACAGAUCCCGGUUAGUUCACAUUCUCUGCCCCUGGAAAGACCACACAGGGUCCUGGAAAAACCAUGCUCACCAGACCCAGCAUGUUCACUGUGGAGAAGCCGGAGAGCCCUGCAGGUCCUGGAUGCCCAUGGGUGGGCUGGCGGUGGGACAGUGGCACUGAUGGUGAAGACCGCACGGGCCAGUGCCACCUCAGAGUGAGCUGAAGCAAGGAACAGGCGUCCAGUCAGCUCUCGUGAUGGCCUCUUCUCUAACAGAAGGCCCCACCCUGCAGCUCUUGUCUUCAUUCCACUGAUUAAAGCCAUUCCCUAUUUUCCCA
Long non-coding RNA from Myodes glareolus (Bank vole), 1109 nucleotides. RefSeq lists it as uncharacterized. The record is from RefSeq and is a predicted model, not a curated record. Lineage: Eukaryota; Metazoa; Chordata; Mammalia; Rodentia; Cricetidae.